This 777-nucleotide non-coding RNA is filed under the name Extatosoma tiaratum (giant prickly stick insect). Lineage: Eukaryota; Metazoa; Arthropoda; Insecta; Phasmatodea; Phasmatidae. The record is from RNAcentral.
UAAUUUUAAGAUGUUAGUUUGAUUCUGAUUAUUGAUAUUAGUUUUAGGAAAUAUAUAUAUGUUAGUUUUUGCUAAUUAUAUUUAAUAUAAGUUUUAGCAGUAUUUAGUAUUGUAAAUUAAAAUUAUUUAGAUUCGGAUAUUUCUUUUAAUAUUGUAAAUGUUUGUGCCAGCAUACGCGGUUAUACAAUAAAUGUUAAUUAAUAUUAUUGGUUAUUGGAGUUUAUCUUUUGUUUUUUGAAUUUAAUUUAUUUAUUUUGAGGUAAAAUUUAAUUUUUUUUUAAUUUUGUUAAUUGAUUCUUUGAAAUGUAAAGUUUAAACUAGGAUUAGAUACCCUAUUAUUUUAUAAGUUAACUGAUUAUACCAGGGUAGUAGUAGUUAUGUUCUUUAAACCUAAAGAAUUUGGCGGUGUUUUAGUCUAUUCAGAGGAAUUUGUCCCUUAAUCGAUAGUCCCCGAUUGAUUCUUUCUUAGGUUAGUUUUAGAUCAGUAUGUAUAUCGCCGUUAUAGGUUUAUUUUAUUAGAAUUAAUUUGCUUUAUUUUUUAUUGAAAGUUAUUUCAGGUCAAGGUGCAGCUAAUACUUAAGUGGAGAUGAAUUACAAUAUUAUUUUAAUAUAAUGGAUUUAUUUUUGAAAUAUUUUAAUGAAAGUGGAUUUGUUAGUAAUUUUGUUUAUGUUAAUUUUUUGAUUAUGGCUCUAAAAUAAGUACAUAUCGCCCGUCACUCUCAUUAUUUGAGAUAAGUCGUAACAAAGUAGACGUACUGGAAGGUGUGUCUGGGAUGA